UUUGGUUGUCAGAGAAUUGUAUAAUUUUAUAAUGUGUUGUGUUAUUUGUACUUUUUGUAAUCAUUGAUAAAAUGACGGAUCUGCAACCCCAGGCUCAAAAGAAGACUUCUGAAGAUACUUCAGUGUUAGUGGAUGAGGCUACUAGAGAGAAGAGAAAGGAAGAACUUUUGAUAAGUCCAGAAUGGUUCAGAAAGAAAGCUCGAUCAAUCAUUU
Acanthochromis polyacanthus (spiny chromis) is the source of this 213-nucleotide long non-coding RNA. RefSeq lists it as uncharacterized. The record is from RefSeq and is a predicted model, not a curated record. The transcript is spliced from 3 exons. Lineage: Eukaryota; Metazoa; Chordata; Actinopteri; Pomacentridae.